UACGUAGGGCGCAAGCGUUGUCCGGAAUUAUUGGGCGUAAAGAGCUCGUAGGUGGUUUGUUACGUCUGCUGUGAAAGUUCAGGGCUCAACCCUGAAAUGCCGGUGGAAACUGUCGAGCUAGAGUACGGAAGAGGUGAGUGGAAUUCCUGGUGUAGCGGUGAAAUGCGCAGAUAUCAGGAGGAACACCGGUGGCGAAGGCGGGUCUCUGGGCCGAUACUGACACUGAGGAGCGAAAGCGUGGGGAGCGAACAGG
Molecule: ribosomal RNA, 253 nt
Filed under: uncultured bacterium
Lineage: Bacteria
Description: partial 16S ribosomal RNA
Rfam family: Bacterial small subunit ribosomal RNA
Source: RNAcentral